GCGGACGGGUGAGUAACACGUGGAUAACCUACCUAUAAGACUGGGAUAACUUCGGGAAACCGGAGCUAAUACCGGAUAAUAUUUUGAACCGCAUGGUUCAAAAGUGAAAGACGGUCUUGCUGUCACUUAUAGAUGGAUCCGCGCUGCAUUAGCUAGUUGGUAAGGUAACGGCUUACCAAGGCAACGAUGCAUAGCCGACCUGAGAGGGUGAUCGGCCACACUGGAACUGAGACACGGUCCAGACUCCUACGGGAGGCAGCAGUAGGGAAUCUUCCGCAAUGGGCGAAAGCCUGACGGAGCAACGCCGCGUGAGUGAUGAAGGUCUUCGGAUCGUAAAACUCUGUUAUUAGGGAAGAACAUAUGUGUAAGUAACUGUGCACAUCUUGACGGUACCUAAUCAGAAAGCCACGGCUAACUACGUGCCAGCAGCCGCGGUAAUACGUAGGUGGCAAGCGUUAUCCGGAAUUAUUGGGCGUAAAGCGCGCGUAGGCGGUUUUUUAAGUCUGAUGUGAAAGCCCACGGCUCAACCGUGGAGGGUCAUUGGAAACUGGAAAACUUGAGUGCAGAAGAGGAAAGUGGAAUUCCAUGUGUAGCGGUGAAAUGCGCAGAGAUAUGGAGGAACACCAGUGGCGAAGGCGACUUUCUGGUCUGUAACUGACGCUGAUGUGCGAAAGCGUGGGGAUCAAACAGGAUUAGAUACCCUGGUAGUCCACGCCGUAAACGA
RNAcentral lists this ribosomal RNA (724 nucleotides) under Staphylococcus aureus. RNAcentral describes it as "bacterial SSU rRNA". It matches the Rfam family "Bacterial small subunit ribosomal RNA", at positions 98 to 809 of the family's 1533-position model. Lineage: Bacteria; Bacillati; Bacillota; Bacilli; Caryophanales; Staphylococcaceae. The record is from RNAcentral.